GUAGAAUCCAACACCAAACUGACCGAUCAUACUAACAUCAGCACCAGCCUGCAGUGCCUCCAUGAACUCCUUCGUACCAGAUCUCGCAAUUGUUCCCAAAUUGUUAACCAGGUCAGCCUUCGUCAUACCACAACCACUGUCAAUGAUCGACAGCGUCUUGUUCACCUUGUCCGGAACGAUCCUGAUGAACAGCUCCGGCUGC
RNAcentral lists this unclassified non-coding RNA (202 nucleotides) under Hevea brasiliensis (rubber tree). The record is from RNAcentral. Lineage: Eukaryota; Viridiplantae; Streptophyta; Magnoliopsida; Malpighiales; Euphorbiaceae.